RNAcentral lists this ribosomal RNA (463 nucleotides) under uncultured bacterium. RNAcentral describes it as "partial 16S ribosomal RNA". It matches the Rfam family "Bacterial small subunit ribosomal RNA", at positions 28 to 507 of the family's 1533-position model. The record is from RNAcentral.
GAUGAACGCUGACAGAAUGCUUAACACAUGCAAGUCGAUGGGGAAGUGGUGCUUGCACCAUGGCAACCAUGGCGGACGGGUGAGUAACGCGUAAGGGACUUACCUGCAGGACUGGGAUAACAGGGGGAAACUCCUGACAAGACCGGAUAAUGUCAUGGAGCUGCAUGGCUUUAUGAUGAAAGGAGACGCCUGCGGAGAGCCUUGCGUCCUAUUAGCUAGUUGGUGAGGUAAUGGCUCACCAAGGCGAAGAUAGGUAGCCGGCCUGAGAGGGUGGACGGCCACAAGGGGACUGAGAUACGGCACUUACUCCUACGGGAGGCAGCAGUGGGGAAUAUUGGACAAUGGGGGCAACCCUGAUCCAGCAAUUCUGUGUGCACGAAGAAGGUUUUCGGAUUGUAAAGUGCUUUCAGCAGAGAAGAAGUAAGUGACGGUACCUGCAGAAGAAGCGACGGCUAAAUACGUG